Molecule: ribosomal RNA, 301 nt
Filed under: uncultured bacterium
Lineage: Bacteria
Description: partial 16S ribosomal RNA
Rfam family: Bacterial small subunit ribosomal RNA
Source: RNAcentral
CAGCCGCCGCGGUAAUACGAAGGGGGCUAGCGUUGCUCGGAAUUACUGGGCGUAAAGGGAGCGUAGGCGGACAUUUAAGUCGGGGGUGAAAUCCCAGAGCUCAACUCUGGAACUGCCUUUGAUACUGGGUGUCUUGAGUGUGAUAGAGGUAUGUGGAACUCCGAGUGUAGAGGUGAAAUUCGUAGAUAUUCGGAAGAACACCAGUGGCGAAGGCGACAUACUGGAUCAUUACUGACGCUGAGGCUCGAAAGCGUGGGGAGCAAACAGGAUUAGAUACCCCGGUAGUCCCUGUCUCUUAUAC